This 930-nucleotide ribosomal RNA is filed under the name Bacteriovorax sp. B3T4-F. RNAcentral describes it as "bacterial SSU rRNA". It matches the Rfam family "Bacterial small subunit ribosomal RNA", at positions 406 to 1322 of the family's 1533-position model. Lineage: Bacteria; Pseudomonadati; Bdellovibrionota; Bacteriovoracia; Bacteriovoracales; Bacteriovoracaceae. The record is from RNAcentral.
UGAGGAAGGCUCUAAGGCGUGACAAGGUCUCCAGGAUAAGAAGAAUGGUCAUGGGUCUAAUAGGCCUAUGAUUUGACGGUACUAUCAAAGGAAGCACCGGCUAACUUCGUGCCAGCAGCCGCGGUAAUACGAAGGGUGCAAGCGUUGUUCGGAUUUACUGGGCGUAAAGCGCGCGCAGGCGGAUUAUUAAGCCAGAUGUGAAAUCCCGGGGCUCAACCCCGGAACUGCGUCUGGAACUGGUAAUCUAGAGUUAUAGAGGGGAGAGCGGAAUUUCGCAUGUAGGGGUAAAAUCCGUAGAGAUGCGAAAGGAACACCAGCGCCGAAGGGGGCUCUCUGGCUAUUAACUGACGCUGAGGCGCGAAAGCGUGGGUAGCAAACAGGAUUAGAUACCCUGGUAGUCCACGCCGUAAACGAUGGAGUACUAGAUAUUGGAGCCUUUGACCGCUUCAGUGUCGUAGCUAACGCAUUAAGUACUCCGCCUGGGAAGUACGGUCGCAAGACUAAAACUCAAAGGAAUUGACGGGGGCCCGCACAAGCGGUGGAUUAUGUGGUUUAAUUCGAAGCAACGCGCAGAACCUUACCUAGGCUUGAAAUCCCGAGAAGAUCGCCCAAAAUUGAUUGUGCUCUUCGGAGAACUCGGUGACAGGCGCUGCAUGGCUGUCGUCUUGCUCGUGUCGUGAGAUGUUGGGUCAAGUCUCGCAACGAGCGCGGCUCCUAUCCUUUGUUGCCAGCGUUAAGUUGGGCACUCUGGGGAGUCUGCCUGGGCUGUCCGGGUGGGAGGUGGGGCUGCCGUCUCGUCCUCAUGGCCCUUAUGUCUCGGGCUACACACGUAAUACCAUGGUGCAUUCACAGAGCCGCGAUCAGGUGUCUGUCAGCUUUUCUCUAGAAGUGCUUCUCAGUCCGGAGUGGAGUCUGCAACUCGUCGCCUUG